This is a long non-coding RNA of Bubalus bubalis (water buffalo), 1598 nucleotides long. RefSeq lists it as uncharacterized. The transcript is spliced from 2 exons. NCBI's taxonomy places the organism in Eukaryota, Metazoa, Chordata, Mammalia, Artiodactyla, Bovidae. The record is from RefSeq and is a predicted model, not a curated record.
AAAACAUCUUACUGCUCACGUCAUGAAGAUAGAAAAGUCAAAGUUCAAAGAAGAUAAGGAAUUUGCUCAAAGCUAUUCAGCUGGUAAAUGGGGUUUGACUACUAUUUUUUAAAGUAUGUGUUCUUUCUUAGACAAAAAAAAUACAAAUAUAAUUCUACCAAGUAGGCUUUGACGGAAAGCAAGACAUUGUUAGCUUUGGAAAGGAGAGAGUGAGAAGGGAAGAAAAUGAGAGAAAACAGCAGUGACUGUGUGGGAUGGUGGUAGUGGGUGACAGAAGAGAGAAUAUAUUAACAAGCUCUUGCUCUUUUUGCCUUCAUCCCAGGGAAGGUCCCCCUGGAGAAGGGAAUGGCAACCCACUCCAGUAUUCUUGCCUGGAGAAUCCCAUGGACAGAGGAGCCUGGAGAGCUACAGUCCAUGGGGUUGCAGAGUCAGACACGACUGAACAACUAACACUUCACUUCAACAAAGAAGAUAUUCUACAUCCAAAGACAUAACGAAGAAACCCAACAAGAGAGUAAGAGAGACGCGCUAGCAAUAUCAUCAAAUCCUACCUGGGUGGGUGAGCCACAAACCAGAGAAUAAUUAACAGAAAUUCUCUCACAAUAGUGCGAGUUCUCAGCCUCAGCACAGACCACCCCCCAACCUCCCGCCCCAGGCGGAGGUUCUGGUAAUGGGAGGAGGAGCCCCAGAGCAUUUGGCUUUGAAGGGCAGCAGGGCUUGAUUGCAGCAGCUCUAUCCGACUUUGGGAAAGAGAAACUGCACUUGUGGAGAGCACACACAAGGUCUCAUGUUCACCAGGACCCAAGGCAAAAGCAGUGACUUCGUAGGAGCCAGGGCAAGACCUACCUGCUGACCUUUGGGGGAUCUCCUGGGGAGGCAGGGGGUGGCUGUGGCUCUCUCUGAGGUCAUAAAAGCUAGUGAUGGAAAUACAAGGGAGUGUUCAUCUACCUGAACUCCUGCUGGUAGCAGACAUCUUGCUUGAGUAACAAGUGCCAGGACCUGGCCCCACCCAAAAGGCUGCAGGCUCUAGCAUUGGGAUACCACAAUCCAAACAAGCAUCAGGGUAAACAUAUCCGUAUGCAUCAGGCUACCUAAGGAUUUACUAAGCCCACACCCACCUCUAGGCACGCCCUUUGACAUGGCUGCCUACCAGAGGGAUAAGAACUGGCUCCACCCACCAGUGGGCAGGCACAGUCCUUCCUGCCAGGAACCCUGCACAAGCCUGCAGGUCCGAACCUACCCUGGAACCAGCCGGUCUCUGGCCCUUGGGUGAUGAGAGGGCUUAACAUCAGUGCCUGAUUUAUGAAGAACAGAGCUGACAUCAUACUUUGUGGAAUUCAUUCCUGGAAACAAGACUGAGGCACACCAAAGCAACAACAGGCACAUGAGGAAGCAAAGAUACUGAACUUAUGACUCUACUUGUUCCUUGCCUCUUGGUUUAGGAACUCUAUGAAAUAGGUUCUAGGAAAGUCAUCAAUGAUCAUGAGAAAUGAAUUUACCAGAACAGUUCUACCUCUCCUCUCUUCUCCUGAUCCUUCUCUGAGGUUCCUAGACCAUAAAUUAAUAAAAUACCAAAAUAAACUGAAAACGACAAACUU